GUAAUCAGUAUGAAUUUCAUGAUUGUUUGUAUUUUACCGCCUAAUUGGAGAAGUGAUGACACACAGUCCUUUCACGUAUUUGUUAAUUACUUAACAAAGCCAUUUUUACAGAUCUACCUGCCACUGAGGAAGCAUUGAAGAUCUGUGUUGGGACACACACAGCGAUCACACUACGUGAUCUGUGUCCGAGUCCAGCUGUAUUGCAGCAUGCAGCAAUCAUACUAGUUGAACAAAUUGCACUCUUAGGGCGAACACGCUUGGGCAUCAUAGCCUGAGGGUGUGACAUUACGCUGUGAUGGCUAGGCAGACACUUAAAAACCAUGAGAUAACAUCAUACACACCACAAAUCAUGUUUUCCUGCCCAUAUAUAACACAAGCAGGCUAAGUUACUAAAUAGCUACACCCUAGAGGAAGGUUUCCAAAAGGUCUGACCUAAAUCUAAGCAAAUAUGGACAAAAGUAAAACACAUUAAAAUAAAUAAAUACAUUAAAAAAAUGUGCAUCAAUUUGUGAUGUAUAGCACAAUAUGUUAGUUAGUUUCCCAUGCAUGAAUGAAUCCCACCAGGGCAUCCCUGUAAGGGCUUUCCUCAAAAUUUCCUCCAAAAAUUAAAAAAAAAAAAGGGAAGAUGAACAUACACACUAUAGUAAAGAGAGAGAGAGGUGGAGAUGGAAGGAGGCAAAAUUGUCAAGAAUAUGACUCAUGUAAUCUUGCUCCUCCAGACACACACAAUCCACAUACUCUUGAGAGCACAUUUUAUGUUGCACAUGGUCAGAGUUUUUCCUCAGCUUGCGUUGCACUCGCUCUCCUCUCCUGGUCUGCUUUUCCCUCCUUCUCACUCUCAAUCUGUGGGUUUCAAGUGCAAAUGAAUCCACACAGGAUUAUGCAUAAGUACUUUGAAGUGUCAAAUGAUGGCCUCCUGUGGCUCAGUGCAGGAAACAUGCAAACUGACAGACACAAGUAACAUGCAAUCUCACACCCAUGUGUGUGCCUGUACAUGCAUGUACUUUUGUACAUGGAAUGGUCACUUCAUAUCCAC
Molecule: long non-coding RNA, 1036 nt
Organism: Astatotilapia calliptera (eastern happy)
Lineage: Eukaryota; Metazoa; Chordata; Actinopteri; Cichliformes; Cichlidae
Source: Ensembl